This 396-nucleotide ribosomal RNA is filed under the name uncultured bacterium. RNAcentral describes it as "partial 16S ribosomal RNA". It matches the Rfam family "Bacterial small subunit ribosomal RNA", at positions 523 to 918 of the family's 1533-position model. The record is from RNAcentral.
AUACGUAGGUGACAAGCGUUAUCCGGAUUUACUGGGCGUAAAGGGCGUGUAGGCGGUCUUGCAAGUCUGGUGUGAAAUUGGUGGGCUCAACCCACCCAAGCAUUGGAAAAUGGAAAACUUGAGUCAUGGAGAGGAAAGUGGAAUUCCUAGUGUAGCGGUGAAAUGCGUAGAUAUUAGGAGGAAUACCGGUGGCGAAGGCGACUUUCUGGACAUGUACUGACGCUGAGGUACGAAAGUGUGGGGAGCAAACAGGAUUAGAUACCCUGGUAGUCCACACUGUAAACGAUGAAUGCUAGGUGUAGGAGGUAUCGACCCCUUCUGUGCCGCAGUAAACACAGUAAGCAUUCCGCCUGGGGAGUACGGUCGCAAGAUUAAAACUCAAAUGAAUUGACGGGG